This 629-nucleotide ribosomal RNA is filed under the name uncultured Alphaproteobacteria bacterium. RNAcentral's name for it is "bacterial SSU rRNA". It matches the Rfam family "Bacterial small subunit ribosomal RNA", at positions 91 to 754 of the family's 1533-position model. Lineage: Bacteria; Pseudomonadati; Pseudomonadota; Alphaproteobacteria. The record is from RNAcentral.
GAGAGUGGCGGACGGGUGAGUAACGCGUGGGAACCUGCCCAGCUGGUGGGGGAUAACUGCGGGAAACUGCAGCUAAUACCGCAUGAGCCCGAGAGGGGAAAGAUUUAUCGCCAUUGGAGGGGCCCGCGUUCGAUUAGGUAGUUGGUGAGGUAACGGCUCACCAAGCCGACGAUCGAUAGCUGGUCUGAGAGGAUGAUCAGCCACACUGGGACUGAGAUACGGCCCAGACUCCUACGGGAGGCAGCAGUGGGGAAUAUUGGACAAUGGGGGCAACCCUGAUCCAGCAAUGCCGCGUGAGUGAUGAAGGCCUUCGGGUUGUAAAGCUCUUUUGGCGGGGACGAUGAUGACGGUACCCGCAGAAUAAGCCCCGGCUAACUUCGUGCCAGCAGCCGCGGUAAUACGAAGGGGGCAAGCGUUGUUCGGAAUUACUGGGCGUAAAGGGCGCGUAGGCGGCCGAUCAAGUCAGGCGUGAAAUUCCCGGGCUCAACCUGGGGGCUGCGCUUGAUACUGAUUGGCUUGAAUACGGGAGAGGAUAGUGGAAUUCCCAGUGUAGAGGUGAAAUUCGUAGAUAUUGGGAAGAACACCAGUGGCGAAGGCGGUUAUCUGGCCCGUUAUUGACGCUGAGGCGC